RNAcentral lists this long non-coding RNA (5413 nucleotides) under Coffea arabica (coffee). Its description in RNAcentral is "long non-coding RNA (CARA_LNC008059)". Lineage: Eukaryota; Viridiplantae; Streptophyta; Magnoliopsida; Gentianales; Rubiaceae. The record is from RNAcentral.
ACUACAAAAGAAACAAAAGAAACAAAACUAGAUUGGCUAGUCUAUCUCAAGCUCACGUCCUCGCUCGCCUUCCCCUGUAAGGAAAACAAAACUAAAGGGAUGAGCUAAAAGCCCAGUGAGGUUCCGAACACAUAAUCAGAUAUUCAAUCCAAUACAUUAAACAUAGAGUAUCAAUAAUUCAAGAAACAUUUACAAUGGAAAGCAGGAGUAACACAUUCAUUAAAAGGAUACGGCUCACAAGGAGCAAUUCGUUAUGUCGUUCAUUCGUUCUCCUGACAUUUCCCCUUAUUCCUCCAAUCAUUUGAAAAUACAUUUUUCGUUUAUCAAUAAACCCUCGUUCGUUCGUUCGUUCAUUCAUUCAUUCAUUCACCCCCGUCCUGGCCGUUGGCCAGUCUCCACCAACCUACAGGGUAAUACUCGAGUAUACCAAACGUUCACCCAAGUCCCUAAUCGCCCGACCGAGUCCGCUUCUGGCUCGAGACGACUGGUAACAAGGGCAAUGGCCAGUUCAGCCCAAAAGGCUUACAUUCAUGCGCAAGUAACAUUUCAAUCAUUAAAUCCUUGAAAAUUGCACAAUUAUUUAGGUCGAGUGCGAUAAAGUACACACUCGCCUAGAAAGCUCGUUUUGGAAAUCAUUAAAAGCACUUAACACAUUAGCAAAUGAUAACAACAAGCCAUAGAAUCAAAUAAGGAACACUCACCUAGAAAUGCAAAAUAUCGUGCAAAAUAUCCUUCCGGAUAUUACCCUUAAUCACCAAUGAAACCUAAGGUUGAACAAGAGAACAUUAUUAUGGUUUAUCGAGCAAAACAUUUAAGGGAAACAAAGAAACCCGACUAAUUAAGAGUAAAACGUGUAAAGAUGACUUUCAAGUAAGAAGAGGGUUGUUUGAACCCAAGGAUGAAAAAUCAUGUUUUAAAAUGGAAAACCGGUCAUGGUAUUGGCCUAACAAAAUUAUACAAGUUCAAAUAGAAACCUAGCCCUCGGGCGAAAAUUUGGGCAGCAUGCCCUUUGUGUUUACCUAAUUUUCCAGCCAUUUUGGCUUCAUUAUUUUCCUCAACCACAACCCAACAUCACACAUAAUCAAUUCAAGUCAAGAGCCGUUCCAUAGGCUCAGAAUAUCAUAAGAAUAAGAAAUACAGUAAUAACAAGUGCAGAAAUUCAAUUUAGCAAAAGACAGAUUUGACGUAUGAAAGCGGAAAUAACUUAUCCGAGGCUACGCUUAUCGGAUUAAAACGAAACCUAUGCCGUUUCGAAGUUAAGACACAAGGCUACAAUGUUCAUGAAGGUCACUUAGUCCAGUUUCUAAUGUAACUGGGUCAAAUUCUCAAAUUACUAAACCAGAAACCAAUUCGUCGGCUGUUUAAACGCAGAACACUGUAAUGGUCAUAACUCAGUCCACACAAGUCCGAAUCAGGUGUUCUUAGAGGCAUUUUAAAGCUAAUACAGAACACUACAACUUUCAUGUUUUGUCCCAGAGCUAAAUCAGAAUGAAUCCUGGUCAAAAAACGUGAUAAACUGGACUGAACUGAAGAAACGGACUGCUGGGAAAUACUUAAAACAGUAAGGGUAUUUUGGACUUUUCACGUCCUACGUUGCUCCGAUUGAGCUGAAAUUUUGUAGGCACCUAUAAAAUGCCAUUCUAUACAACUUUUCUUCUUUGACCUAAGGCCAAAUCAGCCUCUAACAUACAGAUACAAAUUCGGACAGAAUGUUGAGCAAAUUUUCCAGAUUUUGGAAUUUUGAGUUUCUAGUGCAACUUUCCUUAAUUUCUUGGUCUAAUCACUACCACAACACCUUAUAAACCCUCAAUUGCAACAUAUAAGCAUCAUACAACAAUUUGGGCAGAAUUUCCACAAGCCCUAGUUCAUCAAAUAAAUUGGGGAAAACUUCUAAAACAUGCUAAUCAUCCAUGAUUCCACCACAAAAUCAAACUACUAAGCUUAAUUUAACAAAAUUGAAAGCAAAACUUAGAGAGAUAAACUCUCUUACCUUGAAUAAAGGUCACUAAGAGUAGCCCAAGCUUCCUCUUUCAAAAAUCACACCACAAGCCACUAGCUAAUCACUCAAGAACAAGUUUAAUCGGUUUACUUUGUUUGUUUUCUCACUAAGUUGCUGGAUUUGAAGAUGAAAUGAAGAAAUUUCUCUCUUGUUCUUCCCCUCUCUCUCUCUCGGCUCCUUGGCAGAAAUAUGAAGAGAAAUGGAGCUUAGUUGCCUUAUAAUAAAGCAAGAGGAUUAGGACUAAUGGUGUCCACAAAUUGGGCAAACACUUGGACUAAUCUUGGCCACAAAAUUUUUCUCUUUCUUUCUUGUUAUUUCUAGCCUCACAUUCGGUCAAGCUUGCUGCCAAGAGAGAAGAUAUUUUGCUCAAGUUCAAUAAAUUUGUUUGGUAAGGAAAAAUGGUGGUCAAGCGGUGCGUUCAAACGGUAGUGCGUGCGACCCGCCGGUUCGCGCCGUUUUUCUUAAAAACUCACGUACUAGGGUUUUUACUUCCCAUUCACUAACCUUAUAUCAUUGCCACUAGUCACAUAUUAUUUUUCACUUAAAAGUCACUUUUAAUCCCCAAAUUAAUUCUUACUCUGUACCGAAAAUUCAUCCGGCGAAAAAUCGCGAAAACCCUAAUUUCGCUCCAAACUUAAAACCGAAGCGUAAAACCCUAUUUUCUAGGUUUAUCUACACUUAAUGUGAAAUAUUUGGGUAGUGGGCUUUGAUAAAUAAUAAUUUUCAAAUAAAAGGGUAUUUUUGAGAAAAAUACAAGAAAUAUGCGAGUCCUCACAUUCUCUCCCCCUUAAAAAAAUUUCGUCCUCGAAAUUUUACCUUCAGUUGCCUCAGACGAGUCCGGAACUUGUCGGUUGUCUAAAGCAUAAACCUUUGCCGGUCCGCUAGUUCGUUUCCCUCCUUCAUUCACUUGUGACUUAGCUCCAUCCAGUUGCAGAGUAUUGCUUUCACGUGACUGUCUCCUCGGACAGUUGCUAACUUGAUGAUCGCCACUUCCGCAGAUUAAACAUUUCCGCCCCUUUCUCCAACAAUCGCUUUCGACAUGAUUUGCCUUUCCACAGUACCCACAGACCACGUGAGAAGCCAUCUUUUGGCUUUCUUGAAAACUUUUCCCAAAUCUGAUUUGGCUUUCUUUUGUAGAUCCUUCACCUAUCGCCCGUAAUGUCCAUGGUGGGUGGGACAAAAAGUUCACUUUUUGCACUUUGGAAGGGACUCUCGCUUCACUUAAUUCCUCCACUACACUACUCGAUGCACUCCUUUUCUGGGUCUGGGGAGCUUUUAUCUGUGCCUUUGCAGUCUCGAUUCUUUGAGCUUUCUCAAGGGCCUCCGUAAACGUAUUCACUUGUACUGCCGCUAAUGCUUCUUGGAGUUCCAAAUUUAAUACUUGUAUAAACCGUCUUACUCUUCGCCGUUCUGUGGCCACCAAUUCAGAAGCAAACUUGGAUAGUUUCGUAAAUUUCGUUUCAUAUUCGGCCACACUUAACGUUCCCUGGCGUAGUCCAAUAAACUCUUCCUCUCUCCUCUCUUGAACUAAAGGAGGGAGGUAUUUCUCAUUAAAUUCCCUUAUGAAAUUCGUCCAUGUCCAUACGGUCUGUUCUCUUUCCCAUUUUGCUUUAAUAACGUUCCACCACGCUCGGGCCGAUCCUUCAAAUUGGAACACCGCAAAGUUUACUUGUCUUUGUUCGGUGUAGUUCAAGACGGUGAAAAUAUUAAUCAUGGCCUCUAACCAUUGUUCGGCUUUAUCCGGAUCAGAUCCUCCAAGGAAUUUCGGAGGAGUAAAUUUCUGGAACCUCUCAAGAGCCUUAUCUUCUCCGAUUUCAGGGUUUCGAGGUUGAUUCACGGCCGUUUGGCUUUGUUGAUCCACCAGUCUUGCCAAGAUAUCUGUCAUUUGUUGCAUUACCGUUGCCAUUUGGUCUUCGGCUUCAACCCUCGUUCCUUGCUCUUGUGCAGCUGUUGUUUCUCUUUCCUCUCUUGGCUCUUGAGCUCGUUCUUUCCCACGGCCACGUCCACGUCCACGGCUACGUCUCCCGUCCAUAUAUAUGUUUUCCCUCUCUUUUCUUUUCCCCCAAAAGGUAAUUUAGUAAAUAAACACGAUAAGGUUACGAAAGUAACUAUUGAGGGCACCAAAUAUUCAAAUAAACAUAUACCCACAUAACACGCCAUACCGAGAAGAUGGAUAAGCAAAUACACAAAUACAUAUCAAGUUGGACAGAUAACCAUGUACAUACAGGUAUACUAACGUCAUGUAGUAACAAUAUACAGGUAAAUCAAAAGGAAAAGGUGAAGUCGCCCCAGUAUCAGCCCGUCUGGUCUCUCACGUCACUUACUAUCCAAACUAGAUGUCCCUGACCUCUUGUGCUCAUUCUAGUCAGACAAAGCCUGUUCAUGUUCCCAAAAUACAAGUCUCAAGUAUUUAGCAGCACCUCAACUAUAGAGUACUCAGGCACGAGAAUCCGAAAUAAGAUAAUUCACAUCUCGAGCUGCAGUCUCAAGAGUAAACUAUCUACAAUCGGAAUUCCUACCUGACAUACCUAUCUAUGGUCUUCAGAUACCAUGAAAAAGAUUUAAGGCCUAUAACAUUCGCAAUUCAUAGCUUCACUUAGUCCCUCAUACUUUUUCACCACUUAGUCCAGGGUCACUCCACGUAGAAACCACGCGAAGCAGCUAUAAGUUUUAUCCCUCAAUCGCUUAACUUUCAAGUCCAAUCAAAUCCCACAGUCCGGUAUCCUAAUCUUUAAUCUAGGAUACACUACAGAGAUCUGAAGCCUAAGCUCUGAUACCACUUGUAACGACCCCACCUCCCCCUAAGGCGUACCAGAGGGUUCGGCGGGCCGCCUGCCCAGCUCUCGCCGGGACUCAGUCGUUCGCUACAGUCCUCAAUUAAAAAUUGAAAUAAAUCACAAGAAUAAAUAGGGCAUUGAUCCAAACUUAAAGCGGAACUUAUAUACAUUGCCAACCCAAAAGAGAAUAUAAACAUCAAAUAUACAAGGGUUCUCAAUCCUUCAUACGUCCAGCCCGUGCCAAGCACUAGGCGAGAACCACUACAAAAGAAACAAAAGAAACAAAACUAGAUUGGCUAGUCUAUCUCAAGCUCACGUCCUCGCUCGCCUUCCCCUGUAAGGAAAACAAAACUAAAGGGAUGAGCUAAAAGCCCAGUGAGGUUCCGAACACAUAAUCAGAUAUUCAAUCCAAUACAUUAAACAUGGAGUAUCAAUAAUUCAAGAAACAUUUACAAUGGAAAGCAGGAGUAACACAUUCAUUAAAAGGAUACGGCUCACAAGGAGCAAUUCGUUAUGUCGUUCAUUCGUUCUCCUGACAUUUCCCCUUAUUCCUCCAAUCAUUUGAAAAUACAUUUUUCGUUUAUCAAUAAACCCUCGUUCGUUCGUUCGUUCAUUCAUUCAUUCAUUCACCCCCGUC